This 497-nucleotide ribosomal RNA is filed under the name uncultured bacterium. RNAcentral describes it as "partial 16S ribosomal RNA". It matches the Rfam family "Bacterial small subunit ribosomal RNA", at positions 28 to 507 of the family's 1533-position model. The record is from RNAcentral.
GAUGAACGCUGGCGGCGUGCCUAAUACAUGCAAGUCGAGCGAACAGACGAGGAGCUUGCUCCUCUGACGUUAGCGGCGGACGGGUGAGUAACACGUGGAUAACCUACCUAUAAGACUGGGAUAACUUCGGGAAACCGGAGCUAAUACCGGCUAAUAUAUUGAACCGCAUGGUUCACUAGUGAAAGACGGUUUUGCUGUCACUUAUAGAUGGAUCCGCGCCGCAUUAGCUAGUUGGUGGGGUAACGGCUUACCAAGGCAACGAUAAGUAGCCGACCGGAGAGGACGACCAGCCACACGGGGACGGAGACACGGCACAGACUACGAAGGGAGGCAGAAGUGGGGAGGUUUGGACAAUGGGCGAAAGCCUGAUACAGCAAUGCCGCGUGGGUGAAGAAGGCCUUCGGGUUGUAAAGCACGUUUGUCCGGAAAGAAAUCCUGGGAUCUAAUACAGUCGGGGGAUGACGGUACCGGAAGAAGAAGAACCGGCUAACUACGUG